RNAcentral lists this transfer RNA (72 nucleotides) under Ictidomys tridecemlineatus (thirteen-lined ground squirrel). RNAcentral describes it as "Spermophilus tridecemlineatus (thirteen-lined ground squirrel) tRNA". It matches the Rfam family "tRNA". From Rfam's summary of the family: Transfer RNA (tRNA) molecules are approximately 80 nucleotides in length. Their secondary structure includes four short double-helical elements and three loops (D, anti-codon, and T loops). Lineage: Eukaryota; Metazoa; Chordata; Mammalia; Rodentia; Sciuridae. The record is from Rfam by way of RNAcentral.
GGGGUUGUGGCUCAGCGGUAGAGUGCUCGCCUAGCAUGUGUAAGGCCCUGGGUUCGAUCCUCAGCACUACUA